UGUUAUUGUUGCUUUAUAUGAUUGGCUUUUAACCAAUUGGUCGUGGGUUCGAAUCCCGC
RNAcentral lists this transfer RNA (59 nucleotides) under Agitococcus lubricus. It matches the Rfam family "tRNA", at positions 8 to 63 of the family's 71-position model. Rfam says of the family: Transfer RNA (tRNA) molecules are approximately 80 nucleotides in length. The record is from Rfam by way of RNAcentral. Lineage: Bacteria; Pseudomonadati; Pseudomonadota; Gammaproteobacteria; Moraxellales; Moraxellaceae.